Molecule: unclassified non-coding RNA, 316 nt
Filed under: plant metagenome
Description: partial contains 5.8S ribosomal RNA, internal transcribed spacer 2, and large subunit ribosomal RNA
Rfam family: 5.8S ribosomal RNA (bases 1-105)
Source: RNAcentral
GAAAUGCGAUAACUAGUGUGAAUUGUAGAAUUCCGUGAAUCAUCGAGUCUUUGAACGCACAUUGCGCCCCCUGGUAUUCCGGGGGGCAUGCCUGUCCGAGCGUCAUUGCUGCCCAUCAAGCACGGCUUGUGUGUUGGGUCGUCGUCCCCUCUCCGGGGGGGACGGGCCCCAAAGGCAGCGGCGGCACCGCGUCCGAUCCUCGAGCGUAUGGGGCUUUGUCACCCGCUCUGUAGGCCCGGCCGGCGCUUGCCGAACGCAAAUCAAUCUUUUUCCAGGUUGACCUCGGAUCAGGUAGGGAUACCCGCUGAACUUAAGC